UAUGGUCUCAUGGCUGUUUGCAAAUGAGGUGUGACAGGCUCAGCCAUAGAGCAAGAACAGGUACUGUAAAUACAUUGCUUUUAAAAUCUAUCAGAAAUGCUGAGAAAUUGACCCGCUUUCCUGAUUAUUUUGGUCUUGUCUGUACUCUGGUCUCUUUGGUUAUGUGUUGUUCUUCAAUGAGUGUCAACAAGAGGAUCAGCAUUCGGUAAGUCCUCAUCAUAGCAAAGACUCCAUAGAUCCAGAGUUUCAGAAGACCUUUAUUACCGACAUACUGUCUACUUGGACAGAGACCAGCUCAGUAGUGUUAGUGAAUGGAACCGAUUGGCCCAUUUCAACAACCCCUUUAGUUUCAUGGGUUACAACUACAUAGGUAAUCUCUCUCGCUCUCUCUCUUUGAUUGAGUGUGUGUACACAUAAUAAAUGUUAUGACAAUUUGCUUCGGAAAAAUAUACAAUUUCUAAGUAGCCAAUGUCACUGGGCGAGUGGAUGGCAGCAAUUAGACUUGUUCUUUAAGCGCCUCAAACUUGGCAAUAGUGGUUACCUUGAAUAAAUGCAUGUUUAUCCGUAAUGUUGACGAGCAAUCUUCUGUAUCUUGUUUGCCGUUUCUUUCGUUUUCUUGCAUUUGUUUGCAAUAGUUUGAUUGUGGUAAGAACCAUGAGCUCUCCCACCAUCCACAUCCACACCAUACGUUCAAACACCUGCGUGUUUAUAGAUCACAUGAUGUGUGUUUACCACCAUUUGUCAGCCCCUAGUGGUCUGGAGUGUAAUGCCCGAAUAUUACCAUAAUAUAACAUCAACCCAAAUUAGCUCCAACACUAUAUGUGUUUCUGUGAAUAUAUCCAGUACCGUGUGUUAUACUGUGUUUAUAAUGUAUACCUCUGUAUUUAUGUGUCGUUUUAAAGGCAGCAGUGGAUUUGAUCCCUACGCCAGCGAGUCACCAGCUCCUGCCUGACCCUGUACCCAUGGCAGCAGGAGGUGGACAGGCACCUUGGACUACAAGAAGUACCCAAACCUCUACAACUACAACAAACACCACUCAGCAAUGGUAUUCUUCACCAAUCACGAUUAUAUACAGGAGAUGAAAAUAUGGACGAAUUUCCAUGACAACAAAUUAAUCAAACUGUACCUGGAAAAAUGACAUGAAUUUCACAUCUGAAGAUGUGAUCUCAUGUGAUUGUCACGCCCUGACCUUAGAGAGCCUUUUUAUUUCUCUAUUUGGUUAGGUCAGGGUGUGAUUUGGGUGGGCAUUCUAGUUUUCUAUUUCUUUGUUGGCCGGGUAUGGUUCCCAAUCAGAGGCAGCUGUCUAUCGUUGUCUCUGAUUAGGAAUCAUACUUAGACAGCCUGUUUUCCACCCUAGUUUGUGGGAUCUUUUUUUUGCACAGUUGCUGUAUAGCCCUGCAGAACUUUACGUUUGUUUAUAUUUUGUUGUUUUGUCUGUGUUUCCG
Oncorhynchus tshawytscha (Chinook salmon) is the source of this 1445-nucleotide long non-coding RNA. Lineage: Eukaryota; Metazoa; Chordata; Actinopteri; Salmoniformes; Salmonidae. The record is from Ensembl.